AGAGAGAGAGAGAGAGAUACUACUAAUGGAUAACAAUAUAAAUCAAGGCAUGCACGGGGGCGCUCCCUGUGUGCACUACUUUGAGCUGAUCAUGUAUAACAUUUAAGACUGUUUCAUAAAUACACCUCUUCAAAUCUGCAUGGACACAGACGUGCACGGACAUGGAAUAUCCAACUAGUGAAUAGUCUACCUCUUGCCUUUUAAAUAAAAUGAAAUUUGAACCACUCCAUGUAUGCAAAUAUCUCAUAUCCCGCCUAUAAAAGAGAAUAAAAAAUAUAAAAAGAACAAAAAUAGACCCAAGAAAUCAGGAGGAAAAAGAACAGUUCAUUAUAAAUGGGGUGCAACUCAAUUCUCCUUCUCUAAAUGAGAAUUUAGUUACCAAACUCCACUAAGACUUAACCAUUUAAUGACUCAGUUAAUUAUAGUUCCUGUGUGAAACGUUCGAUUAAAAAUGAACUUCUAAAUCAGGUGAUAAUUAUUUUCUCACUGGUUGUCCAACACUAAUUCUAAGCACUCGAAGAGAGACAGAAAGGAAAAUUCUAGUUUUAUCUUGCUGAACAUCGGCAAGCUGUAAAACCUGUAGUAGUAUACAUACAUAUAUACUUCCAUAUGAAAUGGAUAUAAUUAUGGUAUAACUGGACUGGCGCAGCAGAGAAUACAGUGUGUAUUAGUCAUUAUUACUUACAAGGUAAAUGCAGCCAGAUUGCUCCCCAGUAAGAUUGCUUUUGUACGUCGAAAAUCCUGAUUAACACUGUCCAACUUGGCACAAAUUCAGAAUCAGAGGCAGUCUACAAUAUGGCAUAAAAGAGUAAAUGAGGUCGUAGGCCAUGUACUGAAUGGCCUAAAGGCCUAUAUAAAGGGAUCUCUUAUUGUUCUUUCAGAAUUACAGAAGAAAAGUUAUUUUCGGUAUGUCAUGUGUGAUUCUAACAGCAACAGAAAGAAUUUCCAUCGUACACUUGUAAAAUUCACGAUCCAAAAAUAAGUUUUGCAAUAUCAGCAGUAAUUUUUCUUUCUUUUUUUUGGAGAAACAUGCAUCAUACAAUAAUGAACCCAAAUCUGGUAGAUCGUGAGGCCUACCUUCAUAAAUCAAGCCAUGUAGCAAAAAUAAAUUCUAUCAGUCACAAUUUCCAACCUGAAUAAUCAAAAACUCGAAUUCUAUCAUAUCCAUGGUAUAAAUAUUUAUUUACAAAAAGAAAAAGAAAAAGAAAAAGAAAAAGAAACCAUAUUCAUCAAGUAGCACCAAGUAUGCUUGUCUUAGUGCUGAACUAUGUGACUCAUCGCGUGAUUUCCAACAAUUCAGCUACAUUAGUAAAUCUAUAUACUAUAAUAAGGAACUUUUGAGAGCUUUAGGACUAUAAGUUCAAAACUGAAAGGUGGGAAUUAGCAAUUGAAGAACUAGGAUCAAGGACCAUCUUAUUAUCUGAAAAAGGGGUCCACCACGAAGCGCUUACAAAUUGAUCAGAGUUAACUUAUUGCAAUCCAUGUACAAGGAGUCUACAAAUUAACUAAAAUAAAGCAACUGCGACAUGAUUACAGAACUGCAACUAUUGGUCAAGGGACACAACACAACCAUACCAAUGGAAAAUGACCAUGAUGUUGAAAGUGAUGAAAAAUCUCAUCUGCUCCCUGUAAAUCACCCCCUUCAAAUCAUCUAAUGAGAAGCUCCGGCAAAGGAACUCAAUGAACUGAUCACAGAUUCGUAAACCUUGAUUCCUUUCAGGUAUAUGGUGUCCUUAAGGAACUGUAGAACAUAGUUAAGUAAGAAAAGAACCAANN
Molecule: long non-coding RNA, 1776 nt
Filed under: Carica papaya (papaya)
Lineage: Eukaryota; Viridiplantae; Streptophyta; Magnoliopsida; Brassicales; Caricaceae
Description: long non-coding RNA (CPAP_LNC009727)
Source: RNAcentral